RNAcentral lists this ribosomal RNA (117 nucleotides) under Escherichia coli. The record is from RNAcentral. Lineage: Bacteria; Pseudomonadati; Pseudomonadota; Gammaproteobacteria; Enterobacterales; Enterobacteriaceae.
UCUGGCGGCAUUAGCGCGGUGGUCCCACCUGACCCCAUGCCGAACUCAGAAGUGAAACGCCGUAGCGCCGAUGGUAGUGUGGGGUCUCCCCAUGCGAGAGUAGACCCUUGGUAAGGG